UACGUAGGGUGCGAGCGUUAAUCGGAAUUACUGGGCGUAAAGAGCGCGCAGGCGGUCGUACAAGUCGCGUGUGAAAGCCCCCGGCUCAACUGGGGAGGGUCACGCGAUACUGUUCGACUCGAAGGCAGGAGAGGGAAGCGGAAUUCCCGGUGUAGUGGUGAAAUGCGUAGAUAUCGGGAGGAACACCAGUGGCGAAGGCGGCUUCCUGGCCUGUUCUUGACGCUGAGGCGCGAAAGCUAGGGUAGCAAACGGG
This 253-nucleotide ribosomal RNA is filed under the name uncultured bacterium. RNAcentral's name for it is "partial 16S ribosomal RNA". It matches the Rfam family "Bacterial small subunit ribosomal RNA", at positions 524 to 776 of the family's 1533-position model. The record is from RNAcentral.